UACGAAGGGGGCUAGCGUUGUUCGGAAUUACUGGGCGUAAAGCGCACGUAGGCGGAUACUUAAGUCAGGGGUGAAAUCCCGGGGCUCAACCCCGGAACUGCCUUUGAUACUGGGUAUCUCGAGUCCGGAAGAGGUGAGUGGAAUUCCGAGUGUAGAGGUGAAAUUCGUAGAUAUUCGGAGGAACACCAGUGGCGAAGGCGGCUCACUGGUCCGGUACUGACGCUGAGGUGCGAAAGCGUGGGGAGCGAACCGG
Molecule: ribosomal RNA, 253 nt
Filed under: uncultured bacterium
Lineage: Bacteria
Description: partial 16S ribosomal RNA
Rfam family: Bacterial small subunit ribosomal RNA
Source: RNAcentral